This is a long non-coding RNA of Xiphophorus hellerii (green swordtail), 112 nucleotides long. RefSeq lists it as uncharacterized. NCBI's taxonomy places the organism in Eukaryota, Metazoa, Chordata, Actinopteri, Cyprinodontiformes, Poeciliidae. The transcript is spliced from 3 exons. The record is from RefSeq and is a predicted model, not a curated record.
CGCAGGAAAAAACGCUAACGAACAACUCAAAACCACUGUAUUCUUCUAUUUUUUCGCUCUCUGUGUCGGCUACGCUACACACAGACCUGUUGCCAUAGCAGCUGACUGACAA